RNAcentral lists this ribosomal RNA (253 nucleotides) under uncultured bacterium. Its description in RNAcentral is "partial 16S ribosomal RNA". It matches the Rfam family "Bacterial small subunit ribosomal RNA", at positions 524 to 776 of the family's 1533-position model. The record is from RNAcentral.
UACGUAGGGCGCAAGCGUUAUCCGGAAUUAUUGGGCGUAAAGAGCUCGUAGGCGGUUUGUCGCGUCUGCCGUGAAAGUCCGGGGCUCAACUCCGGAUCUGCGGUGGGUACGGGCAGACUAGAGUGCAGUAGGGGAGACUGGAAUUCCUGGUGUAGCGGUGAAAUGCGCAGAUAUCAGGAGGAACACCCGUGGCUAAGGCGGCUCUCUAGUACGGUACUGACGCUGAGACGCGAAAACGUGGGGAGCGAACAGG